This 465-nucleotide ribosomal RNA is filed under the name uncultured bacterium. RNAcentral describes it as "partial 16S ribosomal RNA". It matches the Rfam family "Bacterial small subunit ribosomal RNA", at positions 28 to 507 of the family's 1533-position model. The record is from RNAcentral.
GACGAACGCUGGCGGCGUGCUUAACACAUGCAAGUCGAACGGAAAGGCCCUGCUUGCAGGGUACUCGAGUGGCGAACGGGUGAGUAACACGUGGGUGAUCUGCCCUGCACUUCGGGAUAAGCUUGGGAAACUGGGUCUAAUACCGGAUAGGAACCAUCUUUAGUGUGGUGGUUGGAAAGUUUUUUCGGUGUAGGAUGAGCUCGCGGCCUAUCAGCUUGUUGGUGGGGUAAUGGCCUACCAAGGCGGCGACGGGUCGCCGGCCGGAGAGGGUGUACGGCCGCAUUGGGACGGAGAUACGGCCCAGGCUGCGGCGGGGGGGAGCAGUGGGGAAGAUGGCACAAUGGGCGCAAGCCUGAUGCAGGGAAGCCGGGUGGGGGAGGAAGGACUUCGGGUUGUAAACGCCUUUCGCUAGGGACGAAGCGUUUGGUGACGGUAGCUAGAGAAGAAGCACCGGCUAACUACGUG